CGCAUCUGUGCAUGCAGCAUAUCAAUAAGCGGAGGAAAAGAAACUAACAAGGAUUCCCCUAGUAACGGCGAGUGAAGCGGGAAGAGCUCAAAUUUGAAAUCUUAAAGGGUUUCCCUUUACGAAUUGUAGUUUAAAGAAGUGUUUUCUGUUGAGGUUUUGGUAAAAGUUCUUUGGAAUAGGACAUCACAGAGGGUGAGAAUCCCGUAUUUGACCUUUACUUUCAACUUUGUGAUACACUUUCAAAGAGUCGGAUUGCUUGGGAAUGCAGUCCAAAAUGGGUGGUAAAUUUCAUCUAAAGCUAAAUAUUGGCGAGAGACCGAUAGCGAACAAGUACCGUGAGGGAAAGAUGAAAAGAACUUUGAAAAGAGAGUUAAACAGUACGUGAAAUUGUCAAAAGGGAAGCGUUUGACACCAGUGUUGUUUUUCUGAAAAUCAAUUAAAGAACUGUUUAUGCUAAGUUGUUUAGACUUUAUCAGCUAACUGUUUAGUUUUGAGCUUUUCUUUAAUGCACUUUUCAGUUAACAAGUCAACAUCAAUUUCUUUUGCUGUAAAAAAGCUUGAGGAAGGUGGCUUGAGAUUCGUCUUAAGUGUUUAUAGCCUCUUGCCUAUGCAGUCGGAGAGAUUGAGGUCUGCAGCGUAGAUCCUUCGGGGCUAAAUGCAUUUGUGCUAAGUUAUAGCACUUUAUAGACAACUUGUUGACUAUGAUUUGUCUUGUAGCUUACUCGCUUAUGUUAUUUUACCUACGCUUAGGAUGUUGAGUCAUCACACAUCUCU
RNAcentral lists this ribosomal RNA (774 nucleotides) under uncultured Neocallimastigales. Its description in RNAcentral is "partial large subunit ribosomal RNA". It matches the Rfam family "Eukaryotic large subunit ribosomal RNA", at positions 26 to 614 of the family's 3401-position model. The record is from RNAcentral. Lineage: Eukaryota; Fungi; Neocallimastigomycota; Neocallimastigomycetes; Neocallimastigales.